This is a long non-coding RNA of Arabidopsis thaliana (thale cress), 422 nucleotides long. RefSeq annotates it as other RNA. The record is from RefSeq. NCBI's taxonomy places the organism in Eukaryota, Viridiplantae, Streptophyta, Magnoliopsida, Brassicales, Brassicaceae. The transcript has a single exon.
CUCUAGGGGUCUUCUAUCAAAAUUGGAAUUUUUCUUUUGGAUUGUAAACGUAACGUAUAACAGGAAGGGGAAACUACAGCUUGUGUGUUGAGCCAAACGAUGAGUUGAAUGUUGUUGUUUCCAAGAAAGUCUUACCUUGAGUUAUGCGGAGGAAGGAGGAAGCUAUGGUGGUGGUUGUGGGCGGUUCAUGAGAUUGUGUUGGUGCUAAGAUAUGUAAUCAGAUGGGUGGAUAACAUAGAGACCGGGCUGAUUCAAAUUGACGAAGGGCUGAUGAUGAAGGAGGGCGUGUAGCUGAGAGUGAGAAUCCUGAUGAUGCUGCAUUUGAAAACAGUGGCGGUGCUGUAGCUGCUACGGCGGUCCCAACACUGGACUGAUCAUGCCCUUGCCAUGUCCUGGCUGGGAAACUUUGAUGAGAACGUAAC